RNAcentral lists this ribosomal RNA (438 nucleotides) under uncultured Bacteroidota bacterium. RNAcentral's name for it is "bacterial SSU rRNA". It matches the Rfam family "Bacterial small subunit ribosomal RNA", at positions 918 to 1359 of the family's 1533-position model. The record is from RNAcentral. Lineage: Bacteria; Pseudomonadati; Bacteroidota.
GGCCCGCACAAGCGGAGGAGCAUGUGGUUUAAUUCGAUGAUACGCGAGGAACCUUACCCGGGCUCGAACGUAUGAUGAAUAAGCUGGAAACAGAUUAGUCGAAAGACAUUAUACGAGGUGCUGCAUGGUUGUCGUCAGCUCGUGCCGUGAGGUGUCAGGUUAAGUCCUAUAACGAGCGCAACCCCUACUGUUAGUUGCCAGCAUGUAAAGAUGGGGACUCUAGCGGAACUGCCUACGCAAGUAGAGAGGAAGGUGGGGAUGACGUCAAAUCAGCACGGCCCUUAUGUCCGGGGCGACACACGUGCUACAAUGGUCGAUACAGAGGGCAGCUACUUGGUGACAAGGUGCAAAUCUCAAAAUCGAUCUCAGUUCGGAUCGGAGUCUGUAACUCGACUCCGUGAAGUUGGAUUCGCUAGUAAUCGCACAUCAGCCAUGGUG